AGGUGGCUGGCAGGCAUCCGGUUGGUAAUUUCCAUACAUUUACUAGAUUUUAUUAACGCUAACAGUACUACUAUGGCACUAUGGACACUGUGUAUACACCAAAUUUGUAUACACUUUGGAGGCCGUUUUGUCUAUCUCAGAUUGGGGGGAAAUGGCUGCCGCUAAAACACCCUUCACUUAACCCAGCUUUCUUAAAUUCUAGAUUACUAAAGUUCUCAUACUGGUGCAAGAUGCCUUUUGGUUAUAAGGCAGACCAGAAUUCAGCUACGUACAUAAUUUAUUUCUGAAUAGUAGCCCCCAGUAUAAGAGAAUAUUACAAUAUUUGGUAAUCAUUAAUAAGUAAUGCAUUCACACUUUCACUGCUCAUUGUUUGACUAGAACUUUAGAUUCAUGGCUAAAUCUUUCAUAUAAUAUCAAAUAGUUCUUAUUGAGCAAGUGUGAUAAGUCAAAUGGAUGUUUUUACUAUUUUGCUAACACACUUGGGUUAAUAUUAAAAUGCAUGUGUGAGUGCCCCAGUAGAGUUAUGUUCACAGUUAAUUCAUUUGAUUUCAGAUAGUUACAUUUCUGCUUUACAUUUCAUUGAGAGAAAAACGUUGUUUAUUGUCAGGUCUCGAUUGCCACUUGCACUCAACUUGUUCCUCCGUGUAAAUGUUUGAGGAGGUGUUCACUGAGGUGUCCAGGAAAAUGGGAGAAAUUUUAUGAUGAUGAUUUUAUGAUGGUGGUGCUGCUCUUGAUGAGCAGCACCACCACGCUGACGGCAAUUGAGCACCUCAGACGGCUUAAAUAUCACCGCUAAUUAACACAGAGAGGUGGGCUGUCACAGGCAUGAUGGAUGUUCUAGGGUUGGGAAGGGGGUGGGCAGAUCCCUGCUUUCAACCAACCAGUGAUUCCUUUAUUAAUCAAAGCCUGAGAUGAAAAGGCUCUCCCACACCUUGGGGAGAGAGAGAUAGCGAGAGCCAUUGUUGGGAGGGUUUCAAUCAUUCACCGGGAGCCUGUGAUGUAUUUGAUCAGGGGGCAUCCAAACAUUUGUAGGAGACAGAACAUUUCUGCUGCUAAGCGCUUGCUUUUGUAAACCUCUGAACCUUCCACAUGUUUACAGAGCCCAGUAUGCACAGUCAACUGAGAUUUACUGGUUCUUAGGAAAGUUUCUGUUUGGAGGACCUAUUUUUUGUCCCUCCGACAGGAUAGGUGAUCAUGUGGAGAGUUGGCUAUCACUCUUAAACAGCUCUCCUCCCUGAUGGAGUGAGACAGACUAAGCAAAAGGCGGCACCCCUACACUUUACCUCUGGACUGACUCCAUGAACAGGCUGUCUUGCAGAAAUGAUUUUGAACCUAGAUGAUUUCAGCACUUUGUGUAUGAAGAUGGAGUGUUAUCUCCCCCUCUCUGGUCUCCUCCCUAUCUACCUCACUUAAGGAGGUCCAUUGUUAAGUGCCAGGGGCCUGUGGGUGCUGUAAAUCAGGUGGCAGUGGAUGUCUCUCAUGGGGGAAGGCGCACACUGCCAGCAGCCUUCAGGCUGAUCUCAUCCUGCCUAUCUUAAUGCUUUAAUUAAGGAGCUGGUCAAUAGCAAAGAGGAAGGUACUAAAGGGUAUGAUCUGCACCUCCUAAUGUACGACUGAUGUUAUGUCUGUUUGACUACCCAGUUUGACAAAUAGUUCCAAGUACUGGGAUUUAACAUCAGAUCUGGGUCAUCUAUUUCCAACCAACUCCAGGCCAUGAUAUCAGUGAUUGGCUCAGGAAAGACGUGUAUUGGUUAUCUUUAAGCUCCAGAAAACUAGAGAGUUGGCUUUGUACAGUGCAAAUACCAUCAGUUUCCUUACUGUUUCAAGGAAGGUUGUGAACAGACAAUAGCUUAGGAUACACCUCCCUCUUGUGGCUUGGUACGAGGUGUUAGAUCUAUUGUAAUGUGUACUUAUGCUUGUUGAUUAAUUACAAUAUUCCAUAGUAACUAAUUGUUUUAAUUUUUUUAUCAACCAAUCAUGUGAAGCCUUCUUAAAUGUAAGGAUUUGCUUUAUGUCAUUGUAAAUUGAAUAGGUUUGGUUUUGCUGUGACAAUAAUCAGAAAAAAGUUACUCAGUUUUAAGACUCUUCUUGGCUCUGGUUCAAGGACAUUUGUUGUUAUUUCUAAAAAUCAAUUUAGUGUGAGAAGUAGUUAGUAGAUUAAAACCGGCUAAUUUUGCAGCCUUAUCUGAAACAAUAGUAAAUGCCUUCAUCUCAUAAAGUUUACAAUGAUUAUUUGGCUUGUAAUCGUUUCCAUAAAUUGUGAUGUUUUUAGUAGUCUCACUGUAGAUUGAUGAUCUUCUUUGUAUUCAUGCUAAAUGAAUGUGAAAACAGGAUUUGAUUCCCCUUUGGGCCUUGACCUCACUGCAGAGCACUGAACACUGGCCUUUAUACUGUGAUGGACGCCAUCUGCUGACAAGGUUGGUGCAUUACAUGUUUCUGAAACGUUUGCGGUCUUUCUAGUCUGGAGGAUUCAGUAAGUAAUUUGCCAUUUUAAGACAACUAAAUUAAUUUCUUAUUUUAUGUUGAUUCAGUGGAAGUCUGCACAUCCACUUUUGAUAUCUACAAAACAAAUUCUGAAUAUGUGGAUCAUUAAAAAGAAUCACUUUAGACCCACUGGUGGAGAAAAUGUGAGAUACAUCCAUUUGUUUAAAAAGUGUAACAGCUUUAUUGAGACAGUUGGGGCCCUAGAACUCCGUUUACUACAGUAUGAUUGACCAAGUCAAUAUUAGUUUAUCUUCACCCCUGAAAAGACAAAAAAGGUGGGGCUCAGAU
Molecule: long non-coding RNA, 2772 nt
Organism: Etheostoma spectabile (orangethroat darter)
Lineage: Eukaryota; Metazoa; Chordata; Actinopteri; Perciformes; Percidae
Exons: 2
Source: RefSeq, a predicted model, not a curated record